GAUCCUGGCUCAGGAUGAACGCUAGCUACAGGCUUAACACAUGCAAGUCGAGGGGCAGCAUUUUUAUAGCAAUAUAAAAGAUGGCGACCGGCGCACGGGUGAGUAACACGUAUCCAACCUGCCGAUAACUCGGGGAUAACCCUUCGAAAGAAGGCCUAAUACCCGAUGGCAUAUCCCCUCCGCCUGGUGGGGAUAUUAAAGAGCUUCGGUUAUCGAUGGGGAUGCGUUCCAUUAGCUUGUUGGCGGGGUAACGG
Molecule: ribosomal RNA, 254 nt
Filed under: uncultured bacterium
Lineage: Bacteria
Description: partial 16S ribosomal RNA
Rfam family: Bacterial small subunit ribosomal RNA
Source: RNAcentral